GACACGCUGGCGGCGUGCCUAACACAUGCAAGUCGAGCGGGGUUGAAGCGAGGGGUAACUCGGACUUCUACCUAGCGGCGGACGGGUGAGUAACGCGUGGGCAACCUGCCUCAAGGUUUGGGAUAACAGCUCGAAAGGGCUGCUAAUACCGGAUAUGCCUGUGGCCUCGCAUGGGGCUAUGAGCAAAGGGGAAACCUGCCUUGAGAUGGGCCCGCGUCCCAUCAGCUAGUUGGUGAGGUAACAGCUCACCAAGGCGACGACGGGUAGCCGGCCUGAGAGGGUGACCGGCCACACUGGGACUGAGACACGGCCCAGACUCCUACGGGGGGCAGCAGUGGGGGAUCUUGCACAAUGGGCGAAAGCCUGAUGCAGCGACGCCGCGUGAGCGAAGAAGGCCUUCGGGUUGUAAAGCUCUGUCUGGAGGGACGAAGGAAGUGACGGUACCUCCGGAGGAAGCCACGGCUAACUACGUG
This 473-nucleotide ribosomal RNA is filed under the name uncultured bacterium. Its description in RNAcentral is "bacterial SSU rRNA". It matches the Rfam family "Bacterial small subunit ribosomal RNA", at positions 33 to 507 of the family's 1533-position model. The record is from RNAcentral.